AUACUUACCUGGCAGGGGAGAUGCCAUGACCACGAAGGUGGCUUUCCCAGGGUGAGGCUUAUCCACUGCACCCAGAUGUGCUGACCCCUGUGAUUUCACCAAAUGUGGGAAACUCAAUUGCGUAAUUUGUGGUAGUGGGGUACUGUGUUCUGCUGUCCCCUA
This is a small nuclear RNA of Jaculus jaculus (lesser Egyptian jerboa), 162 nucleotides long. Its record names the gene U1. It matches the Rfam family "U1 spliceosomal RNA". Rfam says of the family: U1 is a small nuclear RNA (snRNA) component of the spliceosome (involved in pre-mRNA splicing). Its 5' end forms complementary base pairs with the 5' splice junction, thus defining the 5' donor site of an intron. The record is from Ensembl. NCBI's taxonomy places the organism in Eukaryota, Metazoa, Chordata, Mammalia, Rodentia, Dipodidae.